UACGUAGGGACCGAGCGUUGUCCGGAUUCAUUGGGCGUAAAGAGCUCGUAGGCGGCCACUCAAGUCGAAUGUGAAACCUCGAGGCUUAACCUCGAGCCUGCAUUCGAUACUGGGCGGCUAGAGUCUGGUAGGGGGAUCUGGAAUUCCUGGUGUAGCGGUGAAAUGCGUAGAUAUCGUAAGGAAGACCAGUGGCGAAGGCGGGUCUCUGGACAGUUCCUGACGCUGAGGCACGAAGGUCAGGGGAGCAAACGGG
Molecule: ribosomal RNA, 253 nt
Filed under: uncultured bacterium
Lineage: Bacteria
Description: partial 16S ribosomal RNA
Rfam family: Bacterial small subunit ribosomal RNA
Source: RNAcentral